Rattus norvegicus (Norway rat) is the source of this 123-nucleotide small nucleolar RNA. Ensembl annotates it as small nucleolar RNA U3. Lineage: Eukaryota; Metazoa; Chordata; Mammalia; Rodentia; Muridae. The record is from Ensembl.
UGAUUUAUACUUUCAGGGAUCAUUUCUAUAGUUUGUGGUCAGAUUUUUUACUCAAUUCCUAUCUCUCUACAUGAACAUACACUACAGUGUGGAUGAGACAGUUGCAGGAAAGGUAGACACUGU